CCAUUUAUUAUAUUCUUUCAUUUGCAGAGUAGUUUACUUAGUUUACCUUUAUUCUAUUGAUUGCCUAUUGAUUGCCUAUUGAUUAUUCAUUGAUCCAUUUAAUAUAACUGUUUACCUUGUAGCAUUUACCUAUUAUUGAUUUUACUAUCAGUACUCACUGUUCACUAGAGUGUAUAGGUUUUCUUGUAUUCUGAUUGGUUUAUUAAGCCUUGCCCCCAGUUUUGGUGGUAGUUUUGAAAACAGUAAUGGAGGAUUGAUGUCUUUGUUGUGAUCCUGAUAUAUUCGUAUGUUUUGAUGCACUUUGUGCUCAUAGACUAUAUUGUGUUUGAUUAGUAGUUCCAUAAGAUCUAUGGAUUAGUAUAGUGAAGGAAUUCAUUCUGGAACAGGACAUCAUGACUUUAUAUGAACCAUAUUUGAUGUGAACCUCUGUUACCAUUACUGUAGAAGUAUGAAGAUCGUUACUGUUAAUAUUGUGUAGACUGUCGAUGUUAGUUAUUAAACUCAGUUCCACAGACUGGGUUUGUAAUAAUUAUAUGAUUACAUCAUUGUUGAAUAAAGAACCCUAGACUAAGAUGAAUUGGACUUGUUAUUAUUUGACUGUCCAGAAAUCACCUUUUACAUUGGCGCCCAACGUUUCGAAGAACCUGGCAUGUACAGCAGAUAUGAUGAAGUUAUUGUAAAGAUGAUGAGCCGUACUAGAUAUUGACUAUUUGUAAUUGGUUCGAUAUGUGGAAAAAUAUAUAAAGAUUUUACCUGUAUUAAUCACAUACGAUUAUAAAGACUAACUGAGUGAUUAUUAUUAAUAAAUAAAUAAACUAGAUUGACAUUGAAUAGAUAUAUUACCUACACUGUUUAAACUUAUAUGUAAAUUAUUGUCAGUGUAUAGUAGUGUACUUGAAAUACUUAGUGUAUUUAAAUUAUUUGGAAAGUAGUUGUAUAAUUAGUUGUGAAAAGAAUUACUACUUUAGUGUGUAUUGACAGAUACAGAUAAAGACUGUUUAGUGAACAU
Molecule: long non-coding RNA, 1009 nt
Organism: Mytilus trossulus (common blue mussel)
Lineage: Eukaryota; Metazoa; Mollusca; Bivalvia; Mytilida; Mytilidae
Exons: 3
Source: RefSeq, a predicted model, not a curated record